Molecule: long non-coding RNA, 1487 nt
Organism: Oncorhynchus tshawytscha (Chinook salmon)
Lineage: Eukaryota; Metazoa; Chordata; Actinopteri; Salmoniformes; Salmonidae
Source: Ensembl
CCGAUACUAACUCUGCAUUGUUUCAUUAGCCAAGAGAGGGUCGCCUGUGGUCAUUCGAAUUACUCUGACACAAAAUGUUUCAACUCCUGGCCAGGCAAGAUCAUCACCCACAGUCCAGGAGUGAUAACUUGGGCGAUACUCAGUUGCUUCUGGUCCUUUCCACAUCACUGCAGCUGUUUCAGCCCACAGACCGUGACUCUGGUUGAAAAAUCAGAGUCAGACAAAAAUGGAAAAUCCAACACAUCUCACAGCGCCUUCCAGCCUAUUGAAGAUCUAAGUGAAGCAUUGAUCGGAAAGUGGACCUGAGCCAUAGGACCAUGCCCCAGGACUACCUGACAUGAUGACUCCUUGCUGUCCCCAGUCCACCUGGCCGUGCUGCUGCUCCAGUUUCAACUGUUCUGCCUUAUUAUUAUUGGACCAUGCUGGUCAUUUAUGAACAUUUGAACAUCUUGGCCAUGUUCUGUUAUAAUCUCCACCUGGCACAGCCAGAAGAGGACUGGCCACCCCACAUAGCCUGGUUCCUCUCUAGGUUUCUUCCUAGGUUUUGGCCUUUCUAGGGAGAUUUUCCUAGCCACCGUGCUUCUACACAUGCAUUGCUUGCUGUUUGGGGUUUUAGGCUGGGUUUCUGUACAGCACUUUGAGAUAUCAGCUGAUGUACGAAGGGCUAUAUAAAAAUACAUUUGAUUUGAUUUGAUUUGAUUUAGGGGCCUUUUGGCAAACUUCCAGCAGGCUGUGAUGUGCCUUUUACUGAGGAGUGGCUUCCGUCUGGCCACUCUACCAUAAAAGCCUGAUUGGUGGAGUGCUGCAGAGAUGGUUGUCCUUCUGGAAGGUGCUCCCAUAUCCACAGAGAAACUCUGGAGCUCUGUCAGAGUGACCAACAGGUUUUUGUUCACCUCCCUGACCAAGGCCCUUCUCCCCCAAUUGCUCAGUUUGGCCAGGUGGCCAGCUCUAGGAAGAUUCUUGGUGGUUCCAAACUUCUCCCAUUUAAGAAUGAUGGAUGCCACUGUGUUCUUGGGGGACCUUCAAUGCUGCAGACAUUUUUUGGUACCCUUCCCAAGAUCUGUGCCUCAACACAUUCCUGUCUAGGACCUCUACGGACAAUUCCUUCAACCUCAUGGCUUGGUUUUUGCUCUGACAUGCACUUUCGACUGUGGGACCUUAGACAGGCGUGUGCAUUUCCAAAUAAUGUCCAAUCAAUUGAAUUUACCACAUGUGAACUCCAAUCAAGUUGUAGAAACAUCACAAGGAUAAUCAAUGGAAACGGGAUGCACCUGAGCUCAAUUUGAGUCUCGUGGCACAAGGUCUGAAUACUUAUUGAAAUAAGGUAUUUACUAAAAAUAUUUUUUCCUUUGUCAUUAUGGAGUAUUGUGUGUAGAUGAGGAUUUUUUAAAUUGACAUUUAAGACAUUUUAGAAUAAGGCUGUAACGUAAUAAAAUGUGGAAAAAGUUAAGGGGUCUUAAUACUUUCUGAAUGCAAUGUAUCUCAGG